CCUACGGGAGGCUGCAGUGGGGAAUCUUCCGCAAUGGGCGAAAGCCUGACGGAGCAACGCCGCGUGAUCGAAUGAAGGCCAGCGUGUUGUAAAGAUCUGUUGACAGGGACGAAUAAGCCAUGCGAAUAGUUGGGUGUAUGACGGUACCUGUUUAGAAAGCUCCGGCUAACUACGUGCCAGUAGCCGCGGUAAUACGUAGGGAGCAAGCGUUGUCCGGAAUUGAUGGGCGUAAAGGGCGGGUAGGUGGGUGCUUAAGUCAGGUGUGAAAACUCUGGGCUCAACCUGGGGACUGCACUUGAAACUGGGUAUCUUGAGGGCAGGAGAGGAAAGUGGAAUUCCCAGUGUAGCGGUGAAAUGCGUAGAUAUUAGGAGGAACACCAGUGGCGAAGGCGACUUUCUGGACUGUCACUGACGCUGAGGCGCGAAAGCGUGGGUAGCGAACGGGAUUAGAUACCCCGGUAGUC
RNAcentral lists this ribosomal RNA (464 nucleotides) under uncultured bacterium. RNAcentral describes it as "partial 16S ribosomal RNA". It matches the Rfam family "Bacterial small subunit ribosomal RNA", at positions 338 to 795 of the family's 1533-position model. The record is from RNAcentral.